This 382-nucleotide ribosomal RNA is filed under the name uncultured eukaryote. Its description in RNAcentral is "partial 18S ribosomal RNA". It matches the Rfam family "Eukaryotic small subunit ribosomal RNA", at positions 592 to 976 of the family's 1831-position model. The record is from RNAcentral.
UGUAAGCGUAUACCAAAGUUGUUGCAGUUAAAACGCUCGUAGUCGGACUUUGGCAGUUCCGGAUGUGUGCACGUCGUGUGCGCACUUCGCGGGGAUUGCUUUUGUGGUCUUGCGUAGGAUGAGGCACUUUUAUUAGUGAACGUCCUCACGCAACCACUUUUUACUGUGAGAAAAUCAGAGUGCUCAAAGCAGGCAUUUGCCGUGAAUGUAUUAGCAUGGAAUAAUAGAAUAGGACUUGGUUCUAUUUUGUUGGUUUGUCGGGACUGAGUAAUGAUUAAGAGGGACAGUUGGGGGCAUUUGUAUUUCGGUGCUAGAGGUGAAAUUCUUAGAUUACCGAAAGACAAACUGCUGCGAAAGCGUCUGCCAAGGAUGUUUUCAUUGA